UAGCUCAGUCGGUAGAGAAUCUGCCUGCAAUGCAGGAGACCCAGGUUCAAUCCCUGG
RNAcentral lists this transfer RNA (57 nucleotides) under Ovis aries (sheep). It matches the Rfam family "tRNA", at positions 8 to 63 of the family's 71-position model. From Rfam's summary of the family: Transfer RNA (tRNA) molecules are approximately 80 nucleotides in length. Lineage: Eukaryota; Metazoa; Chordata; Mammalia; Artiodactyla; Bovidae. The record is from Rfam by way of RNAcentral.